This is a non-coding RNA of Hypoxylon sp. FL1150, 73 nucleotides long. Lineage: Eukaryota; Fungi; Ascomycota; Sordariomycetes; Xylariales; Hypoxylaceae. The record is from the annotation of a GenBank genome assembly.
AAACAUGUAGCUCAACUGGCAAGAGCUUGAGACUCACAUCUCAAGGCUCCGGGUUCGAGUCCCGGCGUGUAAG